Long non-coding RNA from Telopea speciosissima, 151 nucleotides. RefSeq lists it as uncharacterized. The transcript is spliced from 3 exons. The record is from RefSeq and is a predicted model, not a curated record. NCBI's taxonomy places the organism in Eukaryota, Viridiplantae, Streptophyta, Magnoliopsida, Proteales, Proteaceae.
CCCGGAUUAAACUCUUAUUGUUUGUUGUGGUUUCUGUUCCUGAUUUAGUUUCUCUGAUGUUGAUGCUGAUAUGUACAGAGGCCUGGUGAUUUAGGAUGCGAGUUUGAGUAGCUUUUGUAUUCAGGGGUAUCUUAUCUUUCAAAAAUUACAA